This 977-nucleotide long non-coding RNA is filed under the name Setaria viridis. RNAcentral's name for it is "long non-coding RNA (SVIR_LNC010810)". The record is from RNAcentral. Lineage: Eukaryota; Viridiplantae; Streptophyta; Magnoliopsida; Poales; Poaceae.
ACAAAUUGAGGGCUAAAACCUAAUUAAACAUAUAAAUAGAAGGUCUAAUGCGUAAAAGAACAGAUCUAGGAUAGCGGGUGGGAUUUUAUAAAAGAGCAGGGGCCUAAACAUAAGAAAAUGAUCUAAAUCUAAUUAAUUUUGAACUAGAUGGAUCUCGGGGGCAAAAAGAGGAAAUAGCGUGGACUCUUUAGCAAAAACGACGUGGUUGACUUGUUUGAGCGGUACCGGACUUCGGUCAGAUUAGAUCUGACUCGUGCAGAUCGGACAGCUGGCGGCUGUGGUAGCGCACAGGCGACGGCAAACGCGGCGGCGAACGGCGGUGCUGCAGGGGACCUCGCCGGAAUCGAGCAUAGCUCGAGUGGCGGUUCACGGUUUUUGACGGGGAUUGGCUCAGGGAGAAGCUGGGGUUACGACGAACCGAUCUAGGUGGUUCUCGCUGCGGCCGAGGCAAGGAAGGUGAAGGGUGAUGUGGUGGGGCGGCUCGAGCGGAGAAGCUCGACCACGGCGAGCUCGUACACGCAAAGGAAGGCUCGGGAGCGUGUCGAGCCUGCACCAGAGGCUUCCUCACCUUGCGGCAAAGCUCCUAGGGGUCUUCUGUUCAUCAGGAAGGCCGUGGCGGCGGCAGACAUCGAACGCGGCGGCCUGGCAGCUAGGGUUGAGCUCUAGCGGUGGCGCUGGGUCUCAAAGGCGGUAGGUGCUAGGGUUUUGGUGAGGUUGGGAGGGGUGUUGGCACAAAAAAUCGGACAGUGGACCUGACUUUUGCGUCGAGCACACGACAUGGGAGAAUCCGCUUAACUCCUGUUCGGGUUAACAAGGAAGAAUAGAUAUCAGAUUUCAGAGAUUCGAUCGGCUGGAGUUUCGAUCUACUCUAAAAAAACGUAUCAGCGGAUUGGCCGAUGUAAUGUAAGGAUGACCGGCUAUGAAGUAGCUGAUAAUCACGUAGCAAAUGUAAAGGGAACUGCUAGAGUAACCUAAAC